This 521-nucleotide ribosomal RNA is filed under the name Staphylococcus saprophyticus. RNAcentral describes it as "bacterial SSU rRNA". It matches the Rfam family "Bacterial small subunit ribosomal RNA", at positions 77 to 583 of the family's 1533-position model. Lineage: Bacteria; Bacillati; Bacillota; Bacilli; Caryophanales; Staphylococcaceae. The record is from RNAcentral.
AGCUUGCUCCUUUGACGUUAGCGGCGGACGGGUGAGUAACACGUGGGUAACCUACCUAUAAGACUGGGAUAACUUCGGGAAACCGGAGCUAAUACCGGAUAACAUUUGGAACCGCAUGGUUCUAAAGUGAAAGAUGGUUUUGCUAUCACUUAUAGAUGGACCCGCGCCGUAUUAGCUAGUUGGUAAGGUAACGGCUUACCAAGGCGACGAUACGUAGCCGACCUGAGAGGGUGAUCGGCCACACUGGAACUGAGACACGGUCCAGACUCCUACGGGAGGCAGCAGUAGGGAAUCUUCCGCAAUGGGCGAAAGCCUGACGGAGCAACGCCGCGUGAGUGAUGAAGGGUUUCGGCUCGUAAAACUCUGUUAUUAGGGAAGAACAAAUGUGUAAGUAACUGUGCACGUCUUGACGGUACCUAAUCAGAAAGCCACGGCUAACUACGUGCCAGCAGCCGCGGUAAUACGUAGGUGGCAAGCGUUAUCCGGAAUUAUUGGGCGUAAAGCGCGCGUAGGCGGUUUCU